AGCCAUCUUGGCAGGGGGGUUGUGGAUCUUUGCUUAAGAACUUCCAUUUCCAGUUGGCACAUGGGUUACUUUGUUAACCUGUAAAGAAUCUGUUUUUGAAGAAGCAUGUGACUAUUUUUGAGAGCAGAGUUAUAAAAUUGCAUGCAAUGAUGGCUUGAGGGGGGAAAAGAAGAAGUAAAAAAAAGGGCACUAGGAGGACUUACGUUCAAUAUUUUAAAUAACUAUAAUGUGUUAGUUACCUCAGGAGAAGUUGCUCUUUAAAUCUGAAGGUGAGAUAGCAACUCUAAAUUUCUUUUUCUUUGAAUGAGGUACGCAAGAGAUUCGUAGUGUUCUUGUCAUUUUAAAGAGUCACAUAUGUAGACACAGAGCAAUUCAGGAUCUGAACCUGGGGUAGCAGAGUAAGACAGAUUAGGAAGAGUUAGAAAUACAAUGCAGAUGUCUUGACUUGAACUUACAUGUUCUACAUGCUCGUCUCCCGUUUUUAUAACUCAUUUGGAUAAGGUGCCCGCUCUUCAAAGAUUGAUAUUUUAUAGCCAGAUGACUGAAAAACAUCGAUCUCUGGGUCAUGAUGGUGAGAGAAGCGUGCUGUGAAGGAAAUCCCUGGAUGAGAGCAAGACAAGGAAUAAUCUGGUAUCACUCUCAGCAUGCCUCGGAGAUACUGCAGGUUUCUUUCCAGACAACCGCAAUAAAGCGAGCAUUGCAGCAAAGCCAGUCGCAAUCUUUUUGCAAUGUGUAAAAAAUGCAAUGUCUGUGAGGCACCAUAAAGUGAAGAGCAAUAGAACGAGAAUACAGUUGGAAGACCACUUAUGAGAUCACAAAUAAUCAGGGCGUGUAACAGGAUUGUUCACAAACUACAAAAGUUGAAGACUGGCUUCACCACAGCACGUGUUUUAAGAAAAUGCCGUGGUCCUCAUUAGAAUUGGAGCUGAGUUAUAAUGAGGUGAUUUUGCUGACAAACUGCGCCCAGCCUCAUCCUGCUAAAUUCUGCACUGCAGCAAGUACUGUCAGCCUCUGGGAUGGACUUUCCCUGCUGCAAUCCUGCUGAACUUUGACUCUUUAGCAUAUAAGAAAAACAAUGGCAGAAUACAACGUCCCUGGUAUCAUUAGGAUUGGGAAACCGUCUUGCAGUUGUUUGGCAAAGCCAUUGCACAAGGACAUCGUUAAUCUUCCUUGAAAUUUCAUGAAAAAGAGAUUUGUACUCUAAUCUUCCUGAAUUAUCUGCCUCUAAGAUUGGCCUUCUGUUCAUUGUUUUCCUGUUUUUGACAAUGGCAAGGGUCCAAUCUACAGCGAGUCCAACAAGAGCUUCUGGCCAGUUGUCCAUCAGCUACAACUGGAAGCACAGAUGGAAUCCAACGUGGACCCACAUUCCAACCCAUGAUGGUGAAUGCCUAGAGCACUGGUUUGAGGAGACUAUGAGACUGUGAUGAGAUUUGUCGGGAGAAGAUCGGUCAUCUUUUAGUGAUGAGUGAUGCCUACCUUGGGCAUAGGCCAGGGGAAAUGGGAUGCAUGUGUUGUUUCUUUGCUGACCAUGACCCAUUGGUUAGGAUCUAUGUUGUAGAAAGUAAUAGGUAUUUAAAUCUCUCCAUGAUGUGAGACCUCCCCUUCUCUAGUCUCGUUUUCCAUUAUGUUCUACUUCAUAUGUGAGGCUUCAGCGACGUCACAGUAUUUGUUGCUUCCCACACAGGCCAUUCUGUUCCUUGUUCUGUGGAACUUUCACCCCCACCCCCUCCCUUGCUGGCUGCCUCCUACUUUCGGUUUAAGGCUCAGCUUGACAUCUUCUAGAGAGGGUGAUUUGUCUGACCUUUUCUUUCUCCCCUUGUUAUUUCAGAAUGGAUUCAGUGCCUUGUGCUUCCUCCUCAAAGUGUCCUAAGAAUAUUUCCUUCAUAACAUGUGUUUCCUGUUAUUAAAAUGAUCAGUUUGCACUUGCCAUUUCCUCUCUAAACCGGAAGCUUUCCCAUUUUGAAUAUUUUAUUCAUGUACGUAUAAAUAUACAAUAUGUUAUCGGAUUAUAUAACUAAACUGCAUCUGGUACAUCCAUGGUGCUGAAUUAAUAUUUAUUUAGUUGAACUUUGCCAUUUUAAUUAUGUAUAACCUUGUAGUAUAUAUAAAUAUUUGUAUUGAAGACAGCUUUCUGGCUGAAUUAUAUCUUCCUUAAGGGCAAGGUACCUGGAAACAUAGAUAUUAAAAAUAAGUUAAAGCUGCCCUGGCCACAUGGCUCAG
Molecule: long non-coding RNA, 2220 nt
Organism: Myotis myotis
Lineage: Eukaryota; Metazoa; Chordata; Mammalia; Chiroptera; Vespertilionidae
Exons: 3
Source: RefSeq, a predicted model, not a curated record